CUUUUUUGGGGUUUUAUUGGGGUAAAUGCUAAACUUUGAUUUGGUAGGGGCAGGAGAUCUCUCUGGAAGCCACCAGGGAGCCUGUUUCCCCUCUGACAACUCUGAGGGUGUGGGACUUUUGGUACCGUUUGCUCCUCACUGCAUUUCUGCUCCAUCCAAGCAGGGAGAAGUCUGGGGCCUUGCACUCUUUAAUAAGGUCUUUUCUACCUGCCCUUGGAUUUGAGGGUCUUUCCACAGGUGAGCAGGAAAAGCAAUUUCAGAUAUCCCAGGAGGGCACCUCAGGACAUCCAUAGCCUCUACCUCCUGCAGGGAAGCUCCUCUCUCUGGUGCAGUAGGAUGUAUUUGGCUGUCCAGGAAGAAGUGGGUCACAGAGCUGUUUCUUGACCCAUCCAAAACCCAGACAAAGGGUUGUGCAGAACCAUGCCAUGGCCCAGCUAUGCUGGGAAGCAAGAGCUGCAGCAGCUCUGCAUUGGCUCUACACUGGGGUGGGGGUUCAUCUUCUCCCGGAGCACAGUCACCGAGAAGUUCCUAGAGUGAAAAAAAUUUGAGAUUUAACUGGAUUUAGAAUAAAGUAAAAUAAAACUACACUAUUGAAACUCUGUUGAUGUUAGUGAAAAUCCUUGUGUCUUAGAAAAUCAGAUCUAAAGUGCUGAGACUGCUGGCAGAUACUUUCCACACACUGUUUGUGUGUGCAGUGGAGAAAAGUGCUUGUUUGGUGCUGAUUGCAGACUAUGGAAUAAGAGCAAUUUCUCAUCCCACCUCCACAGAAGCUAUUUAAAUAGUUCUACACCCACUUUGAAAGAUGCUCAGUUAGAAAGGAGUAAAUCUGGAAGUUAUUACUCCUCAAAGAAAGAAACGCCAAUAAACAGGCUCUGCUAAGGCUGCCGGUGCUCUCGGGGACAGGAGCCUUCCCCCCGCCAGGCUGCCUCUGCAGUGGACAGUUAUUAUUAGGCAGCCUGCAGAGCAAACACGCGCUGCGGGAAAGAGCCCUUGGAGCUGACCCUUUGUCCCACUGAGGCUCGGGGCCAAAGCCCAGCUGGCUACAUGCAGGCUCCUCGCAGGCUGCACGAGCCCCCAUGUGCUCUCCAUGCAGCACAGGAGCGAAGGGAACAACCAGCAAAACCCAAGGAUGUGCCAGGAGAAGCAAGAGGAAGAGCGCUAAUUAAAAAAGCCCUUAUGAAACACUGGGGACAGAAUGGUGUCAUGUGCACUCAUUCAAUGCCUCCCUUUCCCUUCCUUGGGCAUUGCUGGCCACAAACUCACUCACAAAGUGAAAGUGUUUGCCAGCUCUUUCCCAAAACUGGAGGUGGAGAUUUAACCCAUGCAGGGUUAAAUCUGGGAGGAUGCUGCCCACCACCCAGCCGCUCUCCUGCUGCCCAUGUUUCCCUGUGCUAGACCUCCUGCCUGGCAGGACAGGGACGGAAGAGGCCCUUCCUCAGAGCAGUUGUUGGCCAAGUCUCUUCCUGGGGGAUAUGGAGGGAAAAGUUAAACUGAGGUGGGGAAUUGGGUCAGCUCUGUGCAGGGAGAGCCAGGUGGGACCCAGGAACCUUACUGCUGGUCACCCCCAGGUCACCUCUGUGGGACUCAGAUUCAGUCAAAGGAAAGAAACCGUGAGUUUCUAGCCAGGUAAAAAGCCUGGGAAAGAGCUGGGAAAGAAUGUAAAUAAUUCUUUAUCUCUCUUGUUCUCACAUUGUUUAUAGUUAAGUCCUAUCACUGUGCGUCAAGCACUCUGCACCAAUGGUGUAAGUUGUUUUCACUUCAGAACCAAUGGAUUUGGUCUUUGCGAAGCUCUGUAUAAAAGAGCAGUGUAUUUUGAAUAAAUCGAAGUUUUACCCUCAGCAGCCUUCUGAGUGAGUCUUCUCAUUCCCGUCCUGUCUUGACAGCGACAACCUCCAGUCCUGGUCACACCUGAGAGCAGGCAUUCAGGCAGUCCAGGAGCUUUCCCACCCCCACCACUCUAGAUGUUCAUGGAUUUAAGCUGUUUCCAAAUUAGCUUGGACCCAAAGAGAGACUUUUAUGAAUUGAUGCAUUCAAAAUAGCCACAGAGCACUAAAUCCUCAAAUGAAUCUCAUACAAUGCUACUGUCACACCCAGCUGCUUGUACUCAGACCCUCAGCACUGCCAUCCUGUUCUGUAACCAACACACCAGGGUCCCGAACCUAUAGCAAGUUUUAGGCAAUGUCUUGUAUGUCUCUGGCUUUUGUCCAGCAGAGUUCUGCUUUGAGAUUAAGAUCUUAGUAUUUAUAAGCCUCUGGUUUUACUAUCUGUGUAAUAUUCUGGUAAAUUAGGUGCCUGCACUGCUAUCCCUCCAACACACCUGAAAAUCUCACCUUCUUAACAAAGGGCAGUUACAUUUUUCCUUAAAAAUAAACUAAUUAUAAAAUCACUGUGAUUUUCUCACAUUUAAACAGCCAAUUAUUUCUGAGGAUGUGAGAAACUGAGAAACAGCUGUUGCAAUGUUGAAGCUCAAACAGUUACAUCUCUGCUAUUUUAAUGGGUAAGAGUCAAUACUUUUAUUCCCAUGUUAUAUUACCAAGACAUGAUAAGCAACCAUGGCAUUAGUAUAAAUUUGUGGAGCAAAGAUCACUUCAAUUUGCCCCAAUGAGGAAUAAUUUUAACAGAAAAUUAGCACUCCACAAACAACUAUUUUUUGUUCCCUCUCUCCCUUUUUUUUCCCCUCUUCAUUUUUUGAUAAAGCACCACAACCCUGGGUAAGGGCAGCUUGAAGGCAGAGAUAGUUUUUAAGGCAGCCUUAACUCUUUCCAGACGGGGGGGGAGUGGACUUCAAAAAAACGCUUUUCAGAGUUUAACUUGGUGUGGUUGACCACUGAAUAAAGGGAGAGCACUGACUUUGCCUCUCACCAGAAGGUGAACAAAUAUGAAAUAGGAGUCAGCUCCUCUCCCACGGCCUUCAAGUGAGGACUUCUGCUAAAAGCUUUGCUCUUCAAUCUUCGUAUGAUCACCCAAACCAAAGUGGCAUCUGCAGGUACUUGGCAUCUGUAGAAAUCAGGCUUAUAAAUACAGAGCCAAGCCUGGAGCUCCAGGCCACUCGUUAUGCAAGGCUUUGCUUUAAUCUUUGGAAAUACUUGUUGCACUUAGCCAGGGGAAAGCAUGUGUGCGGCACAAAGAAUGGUGAUUUGAGCUAAGCAUGGAACAGAGUAACAAUUUUUAAUUGCACAUGUGUCUGUCAACAAGCCCUUUCAAACAUUUUAGCUCCAUUGUAUUUUUAUCCUUUUUCCCCUAGGAUCAUGACACACUUGACAGUGGUGAUAAACCAGCUUUCAUGCUGUUCUAUUAGCCAAGAAAUUAUUAUCAGUCCCAUUUAGCUGGAAAUGUGAGACCCACAGGUAGUCUAAUACAGUGAUUACCCCAGGUAGCUACCUAUAACGUGCCAGUCUCAGCAGGAGAGUCUCAUUCCACCCCUCAGAAAGGAUGCUCUCCUGGAAAUUGUGAGGGUGAUUUUAGGUCUCCUACUAGGGCAAACACUUUAAGCAUGGUGUUACCAGAUCAAAAAAAAAAAAAAAAAAAAAAA
Taeniopygia guttata (zebra finch) is the source of this 3532-nucleotide long non-coding RNA. NCBI's taxonomy places the organism in Eukaryota, Metazoa, Chordata, Aves, Passeriformes, Estrildidae. The record is from Ensembl.